UACGAACUGCGCGAACGUUAUUCGGAAUCACUGGGCUUACAGGGUGCGUAGGCGGCUGAUCAGGUCCGAUGUGAAAUCCCCCAGCUCAACUGGGGAAUGGCAUUGGAAACCGAACGGCUGGAGUGAGCUAGAGGUGCACGGAACUUCCGGUGGAGCGGUGAAAUGUGUUGAGAUCGGAAGGAACACCAGAGGCGAAGGCGGUGCACUGGGGCUUGUCUGACGCUGAGGCACGAAAGCCAGGGGAGCGAACGGG
RNAcentral lists this ribosomal RNA (253 nucleotides) under uncultured bacterium. RNAcentral describes it as "partial 16S ribosomal RNA". It matches the Rfam family "Bacterial small subunit ribosomal RNA", at positions 524 to 776 of the family's 1533-position model. The record is from RNAcentral.